AGAACGAACGUUAGCGGCGCGCCUAACACAUGCAAGUCGAGCGAGAAAGGGAGCAAUCCCCGGUACAGCGGCGCACGGGUGAGUAACACGUAGGUAACCUACCCUCGAAUGGUGGAUAACCUUCCGAAAGGGGGGCUAAUACAGCAUGAGCCCACGACCUCGAGAGAGGAUGGGGGAAAAGCCGGCCUCUUCGUGAAAGCUGGUGUUCGAGGAUGGGCCUGCGGCCCAUCAGCUAGUUGGUGAGGUAAUGGCUCACCAAGGCUAAGACGGGUAGCUGGUCUGAGAGGAUGAUCAGCCACACUGGAACUGAGACACGGUCCAGACUCCUACGGGAGGCAGCAGUGGGAAUCUUGCGCAAUGGGACGAAAGCCUGACGCAGCGACGCCGCGUGAGUGAUGAAGGCCCGUCGGUCGUAAAGCUCUGGUGGAGGGAAGAAGUAAGGCAGUGGACUAACAUCCAUGUUGAGUACGACCGGUUACCCUUUAGACUAA
Molecule: ribosomal RNA, 491 nt
Filed under: uncultured soil bacterium
Lineage: Bacteria
Description: bacterial SSU rRNA
Rfam family: Bacterial small subunit ribosomal RNA
Source: RNAcentral